This 497-nucleotide ribosomal RNA is filed under the name uncultured bacterium. RNAcentral describes it as "partial 16S ribosomal RNA". It matches the Rfam family "Bacterial small subunit ribosomal RNA", at positions 28 to 507 of the family's 1533-position model. The record is from RNAcentral.
GAUGAGCGCUGGCGGCGUGCCUAAUACAUGCAAGUCGAGCGAACAGAUGAGGAGCUUGCUCCUCUGACGUUAGCGGCGGACGGGUGAGUAACACGUGGAUAACCUACCUAUAAGACUGGGAUAACUUCGGGAAACCGGAGCUAAUACCGGAUAAUAUAUUGAACCGCAUGGUUCAAUAGUGAAAGACGGUUUUGCUGUCACUUAUAGAUGGAUCCGUGCCGCAUUAGCUAGUUGGUAAGGUAACGGCUUACCAAGGCAACGAUGCGUAGCCGACCUGAGAGGGUGAUCGGCCACACUGGAACUGAGACACGGUCCAGACUCCUACGGGAGGCAGCAGUAGGGAAUCUUCCGCAAUGGGCGAAAGCUUGACGGAGCAACGCCGCGUGAGUGAUGAAGGUCUUCGGAUCGUAAAACUCUGUUAUUAGGGAAGAACAAAUGUGUAAGUAACUAUGCACGUCUUGACGGUACCUAAUCAGAAAGCCACGGCUAACUACGUG